UUCCGGUUGAUCCUGCCGGAGGCCAUUGCUAUCGGAGUCCGAUUUAGCCAUGCUAGUCGUGCGAGUUCAGACUCGCGGCACCGAGCUCAGUAACACGUGGCCAAACUACCCUGUAGAGACGUAUAACCUCGGGAAACUGAGGCUAAUCCGUCAUACCGGUUGAACGGUUGAAACCCAUCAACCUCUAAACGCCCCGGCGCUACAGGACGUGGCUGCGGCCGAUUAGGUUGACGGUGGGGUAACGGCCCACCG
Molecule: ribosomal RNA, 252 nt
Filed under: uncultured archaeon
Lineage: Archaea
Description: partial 16S ribosomal RNA
Rfam family: Archaeal small subunit ribosomal RNA
Source: RNAcentral